This 433-nucleotide long non-coding RNA is filed under the name Homo sapiens (human). Its description in RNAcentral is "HSALNT0020611". Lineage: Eukaryota; Metazoa; Chordata; Mammalia; Primates; Hominidae. The record is from RNAcentral.
CUUAAGCAAAUACCUUAAGGCUAAAGACAGCAAAGUCUUCACCACCCUGCCCUGCAGUGGCAGGAUCUGGCCUGGCCCUGCGCGGCUGCCAGUUUCAUGAGUGCUUGAGGACUGGUGGGACUGCAGAGGUACCCAAGGAGAAGCGAAUCCUCACUUCUCUCCCCUGGGAAGCCCAGGGGCUCAAGUACCCCAGCUGAAAGAGUCUGAGACUGGAAGGUGCCUAAUACCCACCACCUGAUCCAAUCCACCUGACUCUUCCUCCCUGGUGACUCCUGACCACACAGACCUCUGUUUUCUGAGUGCCAACAGCUGUGCAGUCUGAACCACACUGCCGGCGGAAAGUGAGGUAUUCUAGGUCUUCUAGGUUAGUUUUGUCUCCCAGUGGUUCCUUGAGGCCCGGGACUGUAUCACAAGCACUUGUGAGACAUCAGAA